UAUAAUAUUAUAUAUAUGUAUUGCAGGGUGUCGAUAAUAUUGGAUAUGAGUACGGCGGGGGAGCGUGUACCUGAAUGUAAUUCGACGUCGUCCAUCUCGCCGAAGACUUCAAUUUCAAUAUGAGCAGUAUCACGUUGUCGACGCACUGCGAGCGGCAGGAUAGCACAUGAAAAAAAUAAAAAUAACGCGACUCGUAUUCAAAUAUGUGUAUCAUAAGUAUAGAUUAUUAUUAAAAAGUAUAUUAUAGUAUAUAUCGUAUAUAGUCGCGAAUCGUCGUAUAAAUCCUCAUUGGUAAUACGCGUAUUAUCUCUGCAUCGUCGGUGUGAUGGCCGGAAGAGAGGACGGCGAAAUGACGCGGACGUCGACGAGGCGAUUAUUGCCGGUUAAGCCGACCGGUUCAUACAGUUGAGCAAAUUUUAUUCAAAACGAUUUCUCGGGCCAACGAAGGUAAAAUGCUCGUAAGGCUGUUAAACGUCGUCAGAAAUAUAAGCACUCGUCGUCUGAUUGAAAUAGAUAAAAAUGCCGUCAACGAUACGCGAAUAUCGAGUCGUCACAAUAGCUAUUAGAAAUCGCAAGCGGUAGUUUUAUCGAUUUGUCGCAUUAAUGACUCAUCGAACACCCCGAAACAAACUAUAUAGGUAUAUUUUUUAUCUACUGUCAUGUUCCUGUAUAAAGACCGGAAAUGCCGUCUGUUUGAAUGCGAACAGCCCGUCGCCUGCAGCAGUAUACCUACUAUAACCUAACCGGAGUGGUCCAGCAACGGCCCGCUGCAGUACCUGCAGCAGCUACCUUUGAACGAUUGUACGGUGUACGAAAACCGUAAAAAAUUCUCAAAUAAAUCGAUGUCACACUACUUGUUUUUUAGUCAGCGACUCAAGCGUGAAAAAACGUGUGACAAGUUCAAAAUCAAUUUCACAUCUCAAUUCGUAUGAGAAUUUUGCAAAAAUACAAUUUAAGCGAUUAUUUUUAAAUUUUAAAUAAUAUUCUAAAAAUAAUUCGAACGAGCCGAGAUAUUUUUAAAAUAAGAAAAAAUUUUAAAAAAAUUUCCAUUGGGCUACCAGAGUGAGUACCUACACUUAUAAUACUGACUUCAUCAUUUUAGAAACAUCCUUUAUAACCUUGUAACUAUAAUAGUACCUACUUAAAAGUUAUUACAAUGUAACAAUAUGUCAUUAUAUGUUAUAUAAUAUAUAUGUCAUAUUAUUAAUUUUAUAACUCGGCAACCAAAUAAUAUUAAUCUGUAUUCUGCUAAAAUAAAUAUAUAGAGGUAUAAUUAAUAAAGUGGUAAAUAAUAUUUCAUGUGAUAUAUAAGUAUAUUGACUUAAUUAAUUAAAAUAUAUUUUAUACGGCAAAGGAUAUAUCAUAAGUUAUUGUAUCUUGUAUAAUUCGUACCGUUUGU
Molecule: long non-coding RNA, 1399 nt
Organism: Aphis gossypii (cotton aphid)
Lineage: Eukaryota; Metazoa; Arthropoda; Insecta; Hemiptera; Aphididae
Exons: 4
Source: RefSeq, a predicted model, not a curated record